CAGGGACACCUUCCACCAGACCAAGUUUUCUUCUUGAAACCCUAAUUCUUAGACCAGAGUUUCUUCUGAAGGAGAUAAGUCUGACAGCAGGUUGCUGAUGGAAGAGGGAGCUCUCAGAUCUGACAGAGUUGAGCUGAUGAGGUGUUUGGUUUUUUUGUCUGUCCUUUCAGCCACCCAAAGCCAGAAGGUUUGGCAGCUGCUAAAAAGCUGUGUGAGAACCUCUUGCAAACGGUUCACGCCGAGUACUCCCGCUUUGUGAACCAGAUAACCACUGCAGUCCCCCUGGCAGGCUUCACCCAACCCGCCACCAUCAACAGCGUCCCGUCCCAGCCGUCCUACUACCCCUCCAACGGGUACCAGUCGGGGUACCCCGUCGUGCCCCCCCCUCAGCAGCCCGUCCAGCCUCCCUACGGGGUGCCAGGCCUCGUGCCCCCCCCGGCCGUGCCCCUGGCCCCCGGCGUGCUGCCGGCGCUGCCCGCGGCCGUGCCGCCCGUGCCCACGCAGUACCCCAUCCCCCAGGUCCAGCCUCCCGCCAGCACCGCGCAGGUACCACCCCCGGG
Corapipo altera (White-ruffed manakin) is the source of this 560-nucleotide long non-coding RNA. RefSeq lists it as uncharacterized. Lineage: Eukaryota; Metazoa; Chordata; Aves; Passeriformes; Pipridae. The transcript has 3 exons. The record is from RefSeq and is a predicted model, not a curated record.